ACUCUGAGCAUCGGCCCAAUGGAAGGCAAAGAAGGCUGCAGAGGUCUUGUAGCCCCGAAGCUCCUUGGAGACUGCCCUUCAGCUCUGCAGAUCUGGUGGCAUCCUCACACCCACAGAACAACAGGGAAUUAAGAUCACAGAGAAUGAGAAUGGGUGGAGAAACCAGUUCCCACUAGAAUGCAAUCAACCAAAACCCUGCACAUCCAAGCUUGGUCUGUGGAAAGCAACGACUCAACUAACAAUUCUGGUGACCAAAUUCUGCUCCGUGGCGGAGUGGCAGAGAGAAAGGGAGAGACAAAGAGAGAUCCUCCAUCCUCUGGCCCACUCCUGAAAUGCCUGCAACAGUCGGGGCCAGGCCACAGCAGGGUGAAGCCUGGAGCCAGGAACUCAAUCCAGGUCCCCAUGUCUCAAGCUCUUAGGAUAUCAUCUGCUGCCUCCCAGGAUGCCACAGCAGGAAGCUGGAUCAGAAGAGAAGGCGCUGGGACUCAAACCAGGCAGUCUCACAUGGGAUGCAGGUGCCCCAAGCAGUGGCCUAGCCCACGGCAGCACUGCUGGAGCAUUUGAUCCCCUCACAUUUCAUGCAGUUAUAGAUUUGGUUG
Lepus europaeus (European hare) is the source of this 599-nucleotide long non-coding RNA. RefSeq lists it as uncharacterized. The transcript has 3 exons. NCBI's taxonomy places the organism in Eukaryota, Metazoa, Chordata, Mammalia, Lagomorpha, Leporidae. The record is from RefSeq and is a predicted model, not a curated record.